CUUGAGCGUCCUCCUCAGAGUUCCUGCAAAAGAAGAAGAGUGAGAGAGAAGGACUGAGAGAAAGUUUGAGGGAGAAAACUGAUUUUCCGGAGUUUUCGUCGGAGAGUCGCCGACGGAAUCCAUUCCCUACCAAGACCUGUACUCUGGAGCCCUUCUUGGAGUGAAGUAAGAACUCGUGUGGAGAUUUCCUCCUCUUUCCUCAAGAUCAGAAAGAAAACCCGCAAGGGAAGAUCCGCCACUGAUCUUGGUGAGGAAAAUGGACGAAACGACGAGAUCUGAGAGACUAUCCAAGAACGGAGGAGAGAGAAGCCGCCGGCGUGCCAUGUGUCAACCA
This is a long non-coding RNA of Cucurbita moschata (crookneck pumpkin), 334 nucleotides long. RefSeq lists it as uncharacterized. The transcript has 3 exons. Lineage: Eukaryota; Viridiplantae; Streptophyta; Magnoliopsida; Cucurbitales; Cucurbitaceae. The record is from RefSeq and is a predicted model, not a curated record.